Molecule: ribosomal RNA, 3308 nt
Filed under: Saccharomyces cerevisiae YJM193
Lineage: Eukaryota; Fungi; Ascomycota; Saccharomycetes; Saccharomycetales; Saccharomycetaceae
Also listed under: 1 other name
Description: 21S ribosomal RNA
Rfam family: Bacterial large subunit ribosomal RNA (bases 190-3153)
Source: RNAcentral
GUAAAAAGUAGAAUAAUAGAUUUGAAAUAUUUAUUAUAUAGAUUUAAAGAGAUAAUCAUGGAGUAUAAAAAUUAAAUUUAAUAAAUUUAAUAUAACUAUUAAUAGAAUUAGGUUACUAAUAAAUUAAUAACAAUUAAUUUUAAAACCUAAAGGUAAACCUUUAUAUUAAUAAUGUUUUUUUUUUUUAUUUUUAUAAUUAAGAAUAAUUAUUAAUAAUAAUAAACUAAGUGAACUGAAACAUCUAAGUAACUUAAGGAUAAUAAAUCAACAGAGAUAUUAUGAGUAUUGGUGAGAGAAAAUAAUAAAGGUCUAAUAAGUAUUAUGUGAAAAAAAUGUAAGAAAAUAGGAUAACAAAUUCUAAGACUAAAUACUAUUAAUAAGUAUAGUAAGUACCGUAAGGGAAAGUAUGAAAAUGAUUAUUUUAUAAGCAAUCAUGAAUAUAUUAUAUUAUAUUAAUGAUGUACCUUUUGUAUAAUGGGUCAGCAAGUAAUUAAUAUUAGUAAAACAAUAAGUUAUAAAUAAAUAGAAUAAUAUAUAUAUAUAAAAAAAUAUAUUAAAAUAUUUAAUUAAUAUUAAUUGACCCGAAAGCAAACGAUCUAACUAUGAUAAGAUGGAUAAACGAUCGAACAGGUUGAUGUUGCAAUAUCAUCUGAUUAAUUGUGGUUAGUAGUGAAAGACAAAUCUGGUUUGCAGAUAGCUGGUUUUCUAUGAAAUAUAUGUAAGUAUAGCCUUUAUAAAUAAUAAUUAUUAUAUAAUAUUAUAUAUUAUAUAAAGAAUGGUACAGCAAUUAAUAUAUAUUAGGGAACUAUUAAAGUUUUAUUAAUAAUAUUAAAUCUCGAAAUAUUUAAUUAUAUAUAAUAAAGAGUCAGAUUAUGUGCGAUAAGGUAAAUAAUCUAAAGGGAAACAGCCCAGAUUAAGAUAUAAAGUUCCUAAUAAAUAAUAAGUGAAAUAAAUAUUAAAAUAUUAUAAUAUAAUCAGUUAAUGGGUUUGACAAUAACCAUUUUUUAAUGAACAUGUAACAAUGCACUGAUUUAUAAUAAAUAAAAAAAAUAAUAUUUAAAAUCAAAUAUAUAUAUAUUUGUUAAUAGAUAAUAUACGGAUCUUAAUAAUAAGAAUUAUUUAAUUCCUAAUAUGGAAUAUUAUAUUUUUAUAAUAAUAAUAAAAAUAUAAAUACUGAAUAUCUAAAUAUUAUUAUUACUUUUUUUUUUAAUAAUAAUAAUAUGGUAAUAGAACAUUUAAUGAUAAUAUAUAUUAGUUAUUAAUUAAUAUAUGUAUUAAUUAAAUAGAGAAUGCUGACAUGAGUAACGAAAAAAAGGUAUAAACCUUUUCACCUAAAACAUAAGGUUUAACUAUAAAAGUACGGCCCCUAAUUAAAUUAUAUAAGAAUAUAAAUAUAUUUAAGAUGGGAUAAUCUAUAUUAAUAAAAAUUUAUCUUAAAAUAUAUAUAUUAUUAAUAAUUAUAUUAAUUAAUUAAUAAUAUAUAUAAUUAUAUUAUAUAUUAUAUUUUUAUAUAUAAUAUAUAUAAUAUAAACUAAUAAAGAUCAGGAAAUAAUUAAUGUAUACCGUAAUGUAGACCGACUCAGGUAUGUAAGUAGAGAAUAUGAAGGUGAAUUAGAUAAUUAAAGGGAAGGAACUCGGCAAAGAUAGCUCAUAAGUUAGUCAAUAAAGAGUAAUAAGAACAAAGUUGUACAACUGUUUACUAAAAACACCGCACUUUGCAGAAACGAUAAGUUUAAGUAUAAGGUGUGAACUCUGCUCCAUGCUUAAUAUAUAAAUAAAAUUAUUUAACGAUAAUUUUAUUAAAUUUAGGUAAAUAGCAGCCUUAUUAUGAGGGUUAUAAUGUAGCGAAAUUCCUUGGCCUAUAAUUGAGGUCCCGCAUGAAUGACGUAAUGAUACAACAACUGUCUCCCCUUUAAGCUAAGUGAAAUUGAAAUCGUAGUGAAGAUGCUAUGUACCUUCAGCAAGACGGAAAGACCCUAUGCAGCUUUACUGUAAUUAGAUAGAUCGAAUUAUUGUUUAUUAUAUUCAGCAUAUUAAGUAAUCCUAUUAUUAGGUAAUCGUUUAGAUAUUAAUGAGAUACUUAUUAUAAUAUAAUGAUAAUUCUAAUCUUAUAAAUAAUUAUUAUUAUUAUUAUUAUUAAUAAUAAUAAUAUGCUUUCAAGCAUAGUGAUAAAACAUAUUUAUAUGAUAAUCACUUUACUUAAUAGAUAUAAUUCUUAAGUAAUAUAUAAUAUAUAUUAUAUAUAUAUUAUAUAUAAUAUAAGAGACAAUCUCUAAUUGGUAGUUUUGAUGGGGCGUCAUUAUCAGCAAAAGUAUCUGAAUAAGUCCAUAAAUAAAUAUAUAAAAUUAUUGAAUAAAAAAAUAAUAUAUAUUAUAUAUAUUAAUUAUAAAUUGAAAUAUGUUUAUAUAAAUUUAUAUUUAUUGAAUAUAUUUUAGUAAUAGAUAAAAAUAUGUACAGUAAAAUUGUAAGGAAAACAAUAAUAACUUUCUCCUCUCUCGGUGGGGGUUCACACCUAUUUUUAAUAGGUGUGAACCCCUCUUCGGGGUUCCGGUUCCCUUUCGGGUCCCGGAACUUAAAUAAAAAUGGAAAGAAUUAAAUUAAUAUAAUGGUAUAACUGUGCGAUAAUUGUAACACAAACGAGUGAAACAAGUACGUAAGUAUGGCAUAAUGAACAAAUAACACUGAUUGUAAAGGUUAUUGAUAACGAAUAAAAGUUACGCUAGGGAUAACAGGGUAAUAUAGCGAAAGAGUAGAUAUUGUAAGCUAUGUUUGCCACCUCGAUGUCGACUCAACAUUUCCUCUUGGUUGUAAAAGCUAAGAAGGGUUUGACUGUUCGUCAAUUAAAAUGUUACGUGAGUUGGGUUAAAUACGAUGUGAAUCAGUAUGGUUCCUAUCUGCUGAAGGAAAUAUUAUCAAAUUAAAUCUCAUUAUUAGUACGCAAGGACCAUAAUGAAUCAACCCAUGGUGUAUCUAUUGAUAAUAAUAUAAUAUAUUUAAUAAAAAUAAUACUUUAUUAAUAUAUUAUCUAUAUUAGUUUAUAUUUUAAUUAUAUAUUAUCAUAGUAGAUAAGCUAAGUUGAUAAUAAAUAAAUAUUGAAUACAUAUUAAAUAUGAAGUUGUUUUAAUAAGAUAAUUAAUCUGAUAAUUUUAUACUAAAAUUAAUAAUUAUAGGUUUUAUAUAUUAUUUAUAAAUAAAUAUAUUAUAAUAAUAAUAAUUAUUAUUAUUAAUAAAAAAUAUUAAUUAUAAUAUUAAUAAAAUACUAAUUUAUCAGUUAUCUAUAUAAUAUCUAAUCUAUUAUUCUAUAUACU